Molecule: unclassified non-coding RNA, 335 nt
Filed under: soil metagenome
Description: partial contains 5.8S ribosomal RNA, internal transcribed spacer 2, and large subunit ribosomal RNA
Rfam family: 5.8S ribosomal RNA (bases 1-120)
Source: RNAcentral
GAUGAAGAACGCAGUGAAAUGCGAUAAGUAAUGUGAAUUGCAGAAUUCAGUGAAUCAUCGAAUCUUAGAACGCACAUUGCGCCCGCCAGUAUUCUGGCGGGCAUGCCUGUUCGAGCGUCAUUUCAACCAUCAAGCCCCAGGCUUGUGUUGGGGACCUGCGGCUGCCGCAGGCCCUGAAAACCAGUGGCGGGCUCGCUGUCACACCGGGCGUAGUAGAUUUUAUCUCGCUCAGGGCGUGCUGCGGGUUCCGGCCGUUAAAAAGCCUUUUUUACCCAAGGUUGACCUCGGAUCAGGUAGGAAGACCCGCUGAACUUAAGCAUAUCAAUAAGCGGAGG